Theobroma cacao (cacao) is the source of this 1557-nucleotide RNA transcript. RefSeq lists it as uncharacterized. The record is from RefSeq and is a predicted model, not a curated record. NCBI's taxonomy places the organism in Eukaryota, Viridiplantae, Streptophyta, Magnoliopsida, Malvales, Malvaceae.
AUUGCAUAUAAAGCGGUAACGCUCCAAAAUUUCAAAGCCCCAAAUAGUUAAAAAGAAGUCCGCCGACUCGUUUCCCCGACUCAGCACCACAAGAAGUCCGCCAAAUCUUUUCCCCGACUCAGGAUCACCGGCUCACCAGCUAUGGGCGAAUCCAUAACCAUCGACGGCAUGGACCAGGACUCGGCACUUUCCAAGUCAGAGUUUCUGAGUCGGCAAGAGGUACUUCGUCGGCGGUCGCGGCGGGUGAAGCAGCUGGCGAGGCUCUACAAAGCUCACUACUGGAAUCUAAUGGAGGAGCUCAAGAGAAAGCACAAGGAGUACUAUUGGCUGUACGGGAAGAGCCCCUUCAAAGAAGAUGAAAAGAAGAGUAGUGAAGAGAACGAUGGGAACAAGUUAGGGUUAAGGUCUCAGUUGAAGUGUCAGAUUUCUGAUUGUAAGGAGAAAGCGAUGGCGUUGACGAGGUUUUGUCAUAAGCAUAUUUUAAACGAUUCAAAGCAGAUGCUUUAUCGAGGCUGUAAUUUUCCUAUCAAGAGUGGGCAGAUAUGCAAGAAACCAGUACUAAGAUCCAUUAAUCCUCCUCAUUGCCCUGUCCAUGCUCAAGCUGCUGAAAAAUAUCUUUCACGAGCACUGAAAAGGGCAGGCCUUAAUUUCUCUUCGCCAAAUAAGCUUGCUCCCAAGUUGCACAUUGUUGUUGCAGAGUAUGUUCGCCAGAUUCAAACUAAAAGAAGAGCUGCACAACGAAAAGCUGUACCCAAAAUCAAGAUUGAGGAGAAAAUGAGUGAAAGCUGAAUAUAUUCUGCAGAAACAUGUUGAGCCAACAGAGUUAGUUGGUCUAUUGCUGCUGAUGGUGCUGACAUAUUUUAGUCUGGGCCAAGUAGGUUUCUGAUUCAGUGGAGCUAGGGUAGAGUACAGUGCAACACUGGAUUUGUUCCUUGGAGACAAUUUUUUGUGCAUAUAAUGUGAAGAUUUGCAUAAACAAGGUGGGUCUUACACAUUGUUUAUAUACAACCCAAAACAAACAGUGAGGAUAGCAGGGUGGAGCUGAAUAGGCUGUGCUUAGUUGUAGGGGUUAUGCUCCAGAUAGUGUAUGGUGCAGUGACCCUUUGGCAAAUUUGUCUUGAUAAACAUCGAGGUGGAUCUGAUGGUUUAUAUAAUGGGAAUUUGAGUUGAUAUUUUUGGUGAUGGAAAGUAAAUUGCACAUGUUUGCUCAUACUCCACGUUACAUUCUGUUAGAAAUCAUUUCUCCAGAGAAUAUUCAGGUCUGGUAUUUUUAGGUUAUUCAUGUUGUCCAGUGAUGAAAUUGGUGGAGACACCAAAGUGUAGGUUCAGUUGUAUCAGCAAAGGAGCAAUGGUGAUGUGAGUUGCAUAUAAUUGGGUAUUACUUGGGGUGAAUGUUCCAAAAGCUAUUUUAAAAUUUUGGUUAACUUUUAGUUCUUAAUAAUUUACUAUUAUCAACAAUUGUUUGCAUCAAUUUAAGUGUACUCUGGCAGCAAUUAUUUGCAACACUUAAAUAAGUGCACCACAUUCUUUCAAUAAAGCAAAUUGACAUAUAAUUCA